RNAcentral lists this ribosomal RNA (425 nucleotides) under uncultured bacterium. Its description in RNAcentral is "bacterial SSU rRNA". It matches the Rfam family "Bacterial small subunit ribosomal RNA", at positions 28 to 430 of the family's 1533-position model. The record is from RNAcentral.
GACGAACGCNGGCGGCGUGCUUAACACAUGCAAGUCGAACGAAGAGCGAUGGAAGCUUGCUUCUAUCAAUCUUAGUGGCGAACGGGUGAGUAACGCGUAAUCAACCUGCCCUUCAGAGGGGGACAACAGUUGGAAACGACUGCUAAUACCGCAUACGAUCUAAUCUCGGCAUCGAGGAAAGAUGAAAGGUGGCCUCUAUUUAUAAGCUAUCACUGAAGGAGGGGAUUGCGUCUGAUUAGCUAGUUGGAGGGGUAACGGCCCACCAAGGCGAUGAUCAGUAGCCGGUCUGAGAGGAUGAACGGCCACAUUGGGACUGAGACACGGCCCAGACUCCUACGGGAGGCAGCAGUGGGGAAUCUUCCGCAAUGGACGAAAGUCUGACGGAGCAACGCCGCGUGAGUGAUGACGGCCUUCGGGUUGUAAAG